ACACAAUAAUCAUAUAUAUAUGAAAGGAGGCUAACUCUCUUCCACAACUUGACACAUAAGCACAUGAGAACUUGCCACCUAGACUUCAUAAGUUAAGUAAUACAUAAUUAGUAAUUAAUUUAACAUAACAACUAAAAUAGGAGGAUAUAAUUAAUCAGAACUUGAACCAUCACUCUUUUAUAUUUUUUUAAUUCAAUAUAUCCUCUUUAAUGUUGAGAUCCACUUAAGUGGCUAAAGUGAUCAUAAAAUCCAAACAUGCUACACAGAUUCCUUGCAAUCUAAAUUUUCUAAACUUUUCUAAAAUUUCAUAGUCUCACAAUCUAAACAUAUAACAAAAAAACAAGAAUAUAUAAAAUAAAAACAAAACUAAGAAUCUAGAACAACAAUAAAAAACAACUCAAGCACAUUCGUUUUUCAGAUGAACUAAUAUAGUUGGACUUUUCAAAAACAAUUACAAAUCAUAAUUAUGUUUCAAAACCGAUGCAUUCAACUUUACUUUAUAUGAACAGACAUUAUAUAAAACUGUUGGGAAUGUCCUGAAAUCAGUU
This 548-nucleotide small RNA is filed under the name Arabidopsis thaliana (thale cress). RNAcentral describes it as "ATSL158480". The record is from RNAcentral. Lineage: Eukaryota; Viridiplantae; Streptophyta; Magnoliopsida; Brassicales; Brassicaceae.